AGUAACGCGUGGGUAACCUGCCUUAUACAGGGGGAUAACAGUCAGAAAUGGCUGCUAAUACCGCAUAAGCGCACAGAGCUGCAUGGCUCAGUGUGAAAACUCCGGUGGUAUAAGAUGGACCCGCGUUGGAUUAGCUGGUUGGUGGGGUAACGGCUCACCAAGGCGACGAUCCCUAGCUGGUCUGAGAGGAUGACCAGCCACACUGGAACUGAGACACGGUCCAGACUCCUACGGGAGGCAGCAUG
RNAcentral lists this ribosomal RNA (245 nucleotides) under uncultured bacterium. Its description in RNAcentral is "partial 16S ribosomal RNA". It matches the Rfam family "Bacterial small subunit ribosomal RNA", at positions 109 to 353 of the family's 1533-position model. The record is from RNAcentral.